Small nuclear RNA from Peromyscus californicus insignis, 190 nucleotides. RefSeq annotates it as U2 spliceosomal RNA. NCBI's taxonomy places the organism in Eukaryota, Metazoa, Chordata, Mammalia, Rodentia, Cricetidae. The transcript has a single exon. The record is from RefSeq and is a predicted model, not a curated record.
AUCGCUUCUCCGCCUUUUGGCUAAGAUCAAGUGUAGUAUCUGUUCUUAUCAGUUUAAUAUCUGAUACGUCCUCUAUCCGAGGACAACAUAUUAAAUGUAUUUUUGGAGUUGGGAGUUGGACUAGGAGCUUGCUCCGUCCACUCCACGCAUCGACCUGGUAUUGCAGUGACUAGAUUUCAUAGCACUAGAA